AUUGAACGCUGGCGGCAGGCCUAACACAUGCAAGUCGAGCGAGCGGCGGACGGGUGAGUAAUGUCUGGGAAACUGCCUGAUGGAGGGGGAUAACUACUGGAAACGGUAGCUAAUACCGCAUACCAUCAGAUUUGCCCCGUUGGGAUUAGCUAGUAGGUGGGGUAACGGCUCACCUAGGCGACGAUCCCUAGCUGGUCUGAGAGGAUGACCAGCAACAUUGGAACUGAGACACGGUCAAGACUCUUACGGGAGGCAGCGGUGGGGAAUAUUGCAAAAUGGGCGAAAGCCGGAGGCAGCCAUGCGGCGUGUGUGAAGAAGGCCUUGGGGUUGUAAAGCACUUUCAGCGGGGAGGCGUUACCCGAAGAAGAAGCACCGGCUAACUCCGUGCCAGCAGCCGCGGUAAUAC
Molecule: ribosomal RNA, 406 nt
Filed under: uncultured bacterium
Lineage: Bacteria
Description: partial 16S ribosomal RNA
Rfam family: Bacterial small subunit ribosomal RNA
Source: RNAcentral